GGACGCCCAGCUGUCAAUCACGCGCAGCCAGAGCUCCAGGAGGCGGGAGCGGCGGUGGCAGCGGUGGCGGCGGCGGCGGCGGCGGCGGUGGUAGUGGCUGCGAUGGGACCCCAGCGAGAGAUUUGCGGCUAGCUGGCUGCAUUUGCUCCACGGGUCAGGGGAUCGCAGGGGCAGGUUUCAAGAAUGAGCCAUUAAAAGGAAAGGUCAAAGAGUAAACAACAGGAAGAGGAAGUGGAGGACUGCAAAGCUGGGAAGGAUGAGUUCCUGCAGCAACAUCUGUGGGUCCAAGCAGGCACAGGCUGCCACUGAGAGCGGGUACCAGCGCUAUGGAGUCCGGUCCUACCUGCACCAGUUUUAUGAGGACUGUACCACCUCAAUCUGGGAGUAUGAGGAUGAUUUCCAGAUCCAGAGAUCACCUAACAGGUGGAGCUCAGUAUUCUGGAAGACAAAGUUAUGAAGUGGUCUUGGUCUGUCUCACUUCGUCACGGGCACAGAGUGAUCUUGUCUGAUGUUGAGGUUCUGCAAGAUUGAUUGUACCCACAGAACAACAUGGCGCCAAUGUGGGGCCCAGGCCAGCUUCUGACACCAUCAAGGCCUGGUGAAUAGGGUCGGACUCAUCUCGGGCACAGUCUUUGUGAUUCUCGGAUUGACUGUUCUGGCAGUGGGCUUUCUUGUGCCCCCCAAAAUUGAAGCCUUUGGCGAAGCCAAUUUCGUGGUAGUGGACACACACGCUGUCCAGUUUAAUGGAGCCCUUGACAUGUGCAAGCUGGCAGGUGCCGUUCUCUUCUGCAUUGGGGGCAUGUCCAUGGCAGGGUGCCUGCUGAUGUCAGUGUUUGCCAAAAGCUACUCCAAAGAAGAGAAAAUCCUUCAGCAAAAGUUUAAAGAGAGAAUUGCAGACAUCAAGGCCCACCCCCAGCCCAUUACGAGAGCUCCAGGCCCAGGGGAAACAAAGAUACCAGUCACUUUGUCCAGGGUUCAAAAUGUUCAGCCUGUAUCAGCCACCUGAAAUGUUUUCCACCCCAGCCUCCCCCCCUCCUCCUAAUGUACGAGGUGUUACGAGGGAGCAGGCCAGUUCAGGAGACGAUGAGCGUUUGAUGUUGACCUGCCCCACCUAGGGCUGUGCUCCGCUGCGGGCAGCAUGGGAAGUGAGCUCACAUUCAUUCCCUUCAGUGGCCCUGGGGACAGUUGAUGCCAUGUGUCAGCCUGUCACCUCUGGAACUCCUCUCUCAUAUAUUGUGACUUUGUGUCAUUUUCCAUGUUACUGGAAAGCGCUGAACAGUUUAGACCAGCCUACCGAUGGCUAACGUGGUCCGUCUUACUUUCCAAUGUUGGUUCUUCUAAUCUUUCCUGUGUGGUGCUGCCUUCCUUUCCUUGUCUCACUACAUGUAAGAUACUGUUGUGUGUGUCCACAGAAAAAUCACGUUCCCUGAUUUUGACCCAAACAUUGGUCUUUUAACCAUAACUCGAGGUUCUUGAGAUCAAACACAUACCUAUCGGGAUUCUCCACAAAUCUUUUUGUUGUUGUUGUUUUCUCCAGUUUUUCCUUCCACUUAAAAAGCUAAAAUUGACAACUGGAGAAUCUUGGGAAAGAAACUAGUAUUAAGAGAAUCUAUUUAUGUAGUGUCCAAGAGCACUGAGUUAGAAGCCAAGAAAUUUGAGUUCCUAUUAGUAGCCAGCUGUGUGAUUUUGGGGAAAGCACUUCACAUCCCCAGGCCUCAGUUUUCCCGUCUGUAGCUGGGGGUCCUGGUCUGUGAUGUCGGAGGUUCCUUUUUUGCCGCGUGUCCUCGUGUUUCCACGACGAAGGAUGUUUACGGUGUUCUUGUGGCUCUUGCCACAAUGGGAUUCUUCCGGAAGGUCGCCGAGUCAGCAGCCCCCAUGCCAUCUACUCUUAAAUCUCCAACCCCAGCAGUUUACACAAUGCCGUCCUAUUUUUUAUAAAGGCAAAAUAAGCCAUCCGCAGAUAAGGAACCCCUGAGUAAAUGAUAACUUUUAAAAGGGUCUUCAUUCUCCAAGAAGAUGUUUUCUUCUCCAGUAAAAUGUACCUCUCAUCCCUUUGCACUUUUAUUUAAUCUGUGGAUUUCAGCUAGACUGAAGAAAGUGGAACACAUGACCUUGGUAUCCUCUCAGAAUCUGUGCCACCUUCCAGGGUUUUUUUUCCCCUUCCUUCACUGGAUAAAUAAAAUAUGUGAACGAGCAGAACC
Non-coding RNA from Sus scrofa (pig), 2201 nucleotides. Lineage: Eukaryota; Metazoa; Chordata; Mammalia; Artiodactyla; Suidae. The record is from RefSeq and is a predicted model, not a curated record.